UUAAUCCGCCCUGUUUUUCUCUCCUCUCUCAAGGUGGGCGUGGAUCUGUUCAGCUGACCUUCCUGCUCAGCUACAGCCCGCCCUCCGUAACGUCAAAGCGAAGGAAGUUUACAUGGGAUCUGGAGCGAUGAAUGAGGUGAGCUGAACAGAAGAAAAUAAGGAAAACAUUAAAGGAAUUGCACUUCGACCUUUCAAAAUUCCAGAUCUGGGCAUCGCUGGCAAUGUCAACAUUUAUUGCCCAUCCCUAAUUGCCC
Long non-coding RNA from Carcharodon carcharias (great white shark), 254 nucleotides. RefSeq lists it as uncharacterized. The transcript is spliced from 3 exons. NCBI's taxonomy places the organism in Eukaryota, Metazoa, Chordata, Chondrichthyes, Lamniformes, Lamnidae. The record is from RefSeq and is a predicted model, not a curated record.